CAGUAGCCGCGGGAAUACAGAGGGUGCGAGCGUUAAUCGGAUUUACUGGGCGUAAAGCGUGCGUAGGCGGCUUCUUAAGUCGGAUGUGAAAUCCCUGAGCUUAACUUAGAAAUUGCAUUCGAUACUGGGAAGCUAGAGUAUGGGAGAGGAUGGUAGAAUUCCAGGUGUAGCGGUGAAAUGCGUAGAGAUCUGGAGGAAUACCGAUGGCGAAGGCAGCCAUCUGGCCUAAUACUGACGCUGAGGUACGAAAGCAUGGGGAGCAAACAGGAUUAGAGACCCCAGUAGUACCUGUCUCUUAUAC
This 301-nucleotide ribosomal RNA is filed under the name uncultured bacterium. Its description in RNAcentral is "partial 16S ribosomal RNA". It matches the Rfam family "Bacterial small subunit ribosomal RNA", at positions 509 to 807 of the family's 1533-position model. The record is from RNAcentral.